RNAcentral lists this non-coding RNA (232 nucleotides) under Liquorilactobacillus ghanensis. Its description in RNAcentral is "Lactobacillus ghanensis T-box sequence". It matches the Rfam family "T-box leader". Rfam says of the family: Uncharged tRNA acts as the effector for transcription antitermination of genes in the T-box leader family. T-boxes are found upstream of many aminoacyl-tRNA synthetase genes and some amino acid biosynthetic genes usually in Gram-positive bacteria. Lineage: Bacteria; Bacillati; Bacillota; Bacilli; Lactobacillales; Lactobacillaceae. The record is from RNAcentral.
UUUCAAGCAAUGCUGAAAUGAGUAGAUUUUUACUGUUGUUCAGAGAGCCGUUAUUUGCUGAAAGACGGUCAGCAGUUAUUUUUGAAGAUGGUUUCAGCGCUGAUAAAUGCUGAAUAAUCAAGUAUUUAUGGUGACGUCCAUUAUCACGUCAAGUAUCGAUGAUACUUAUUGAGUGCAGCAAUGUGAGUUGCUGUAAAAUUAUAGGUGGUAACGCGAAAAUUUCGCCCUUGUU